RNAcentral lists this ribosomal RNA (217 nucleotides) under uncultured bacterium. Its description in RNAcentral is "partial 16S ribosomal RNA". It matches the Rfam family "Bacterial small subunit ribosomal RNA", at positions 524 to 739 of the family's 1533-position model. The record is from RNAcentral.
UACGAAGGGGGCUAGCGUUGCUCGGAAUCACUGGGCGUAAAGCGCACGUAGGCGGAUUGUUAAGUCAGGGGUGAAAUCCUGGAGCUCAACUCCAGAACUGCCUUUGAUACUGGCGAUCUCGAGUCCGGGAGAGGUGAGUGGAACUGCGAGUGUAGAGGUGAAAUUCGUAGAUAUUCGCAAGAACACCAGUGGCGAAGGCGGACUCACUGGCCCGGUA